Molecule: ribosomal RNA, 254 nt
Filed under: uncultured bacterium
Lineage: Bacteria
Also listed under: 1 other name
Description: partial 16S ribosomal RNA
Rfam family: Bacterial small subunit ribosomal RNA
Source: RNAcentral
GACGAACCGUGCGAACGUUAUUCGGAAUCACUGGGCUUAAAGCGCGUGUAGGCGGGACGACACGUCCGACGUUGAAAUCCCCCGGCUCAACCGGGGAACGGGCGCGGAUACGAUCGUCCUGGAGGGGCGUAGGGGGACCUGGAACUUCCGGUGGAGCGGUGAAAUGCGUUGAGAUCGGAAGGAACGCCCGUGGCGAAAGCGAGGUCCUGGACGCUUACUGACGCUGAGACGCGAAAGCCAGGGGAGCGAACGGG